GAUGAACGCUGGCGGCGUGCCUAAUACAUGCAAGUCGAGCGAAUGGAUUAAGAGCUUGCUCUUAUGAAGUUAGCGGCGGACGGGUGAGUAACACGUGGGUAACCUGCCCAUAAGACUGGGAUAACUCCGGGAAACCGGGGCUAAUACCGGAUAAUAUUUUAAACUGCGUGGUGCAAAAUUGAAAGGCGGCUUCGGCUGUCACUUAUGGAUGUACCCGGGUGGGAUUAGCUAGUUGGUGAGGUAACGGCUCACUAAGGCAACGAUGCGGAGCCGGCCUGGGAGGGGGAUCGGCCACACUGGGACUGAGAAACGGCCCAGAAUCCUACGGGGGGCAGCAGUAGGGAAUCUUCCGCAAUGGACGAAAGUCUGACGGAGCAACGCCGCGUGAGUGAUGAAGGCUUUCGGGUCGUAAAACUCUGUUGUUAGGGAAGAACAAGUGCUAGUUGAAUAAGCUGGCACCUUGGCGGUACCUGACCAGAAAGCCACGGCUAACUACGUGCCAGCCGCCGCUGUAA
Molecule: ribosomal RNA, 515 nt
Filed under: uncultured bacterium
Lineage: Bacteria
Description: partial 16S ribosomal RNA
Rfam family: Bacterial small subunit ribosomal RNA
Source: RNAcentral